UAGGGCGACAAGUUGUUGUUAUUGUUUAGCCUCAAGUCAGCCCUAAAUGAGCAAAGCUAUAAUAAAAGACGUCCCAACCGUGACCAUCUUGUUUUUUUUUUUUACAGCUAUGAGUGAAUUGGAGGAAAUUUAGCUUCUAUCUCUAGCCUACAGCGCAAUGAUGCAGAGGUACCCAGAAGUUAGCAGAAAAGAUAUAGCGAUAAGGUCAGCCCUGAAUGAGCAGCCCAUGAUCAAAGGCAUUCCAAACAGGACCAUCCUGACUGUUUAGAACAUGGGUUAGAUGAACACAUUAUUGAGGCAAGUUUUACAGCUGGAUGCUCUUCUUAUCAUAAACCUUUAAUUGUUUUCAAGUAAGUGCUAUCUUAUUACACACUUUUGAAGGCACAAAACCAAUGGAUGUAUGAGUGUGGGGCUGGUAUAGUGAGUGAUGUGUGGUGAUGAAGGACAGAUGGUCUGGUUGCUCAGGAGGAGAUCAAUGUAAAAUGUGGGAGGAGAGUACAGUAUUAAGAAUGAAAGAUGGAUAACAUGUGAAAUGAUUCCACACAAUAAGGAUAAAUGGUGAAGUGUGCUGUUCCAUACCUAUGCACCUGUGACAUCAUCCUUGAUACUAUGCAUCUCUCAUACACUAAAAAGAGCUUCUUCUAAGCAAACAACUCUAGGCGUGUUUUUAAAAAAGAAAUCCACAAGUUCAUCUACAAGUGCUUGUGAAUCAGCGAACAUGUCUACAAGUGAUGGUG
This is a long non-coding RNA of Octopus bimaculoides (California two-spot octopus), 737 nucleotides long. The record is from RefSeq and is a predicted model, not a curated record. NCBI's taxonomy places the organism in Eukaryota, Metazoa, Mollusca, Cephalopoda, Octopoda, Octopodidae.